Molecule: non-coding RNA, 559 nt
Organism: Styela clava
Lineage: Eukaryota; Metazoa; Chordata; Ascidiacea; Stolidobranchia; Styelidae
Source: RefSeq, a predicted model, not a curated record
UUGAAGUUAUUAAUUGGGUUUAAAAUCAACGGUUCAUACUGGAGUUGUAAUAUAAUGUAGGGAUACAGGUUAGGGUUGUAAUAUAGUCCAAAUAGAAUGAUAAAUGUUGUUCUUUAUAUUUAGUCACAUAAGUUAAGUUGUAUUUACUUUGGAUUAUUAAUUGUUGAAUUGAGUUGCCUGGAGAUCCUAAACAUUCGAAAACCGUUCCUUUAACAACAUUACGUUACGUUCCAUUAACAACGUUCCGUUUCCGGUACCCGGCAAGUUCUAUUUUCCUGAUUCAUGUUUCGAGAUUUGAUUUGAAGUGUCUGUUGAUUGUUAUUAAAGAUAUUCACCGAUUUCAAGUUGAAUUAUAUUGGGGCAGCAUUUGAAAGGCACAGAAGAAUCUGGCGGCACUUUAACCGCUGUUUACAGACUUUAAUUGCUUGAAAGCACGGACUAGUUGUAACAAUUAACCGAUAUAGGUUGGGGUCAGGACUGGGGUAUUGGGACGCGUUUUUGAAGUCUCCAAUCUCUUAAUGUGCGUGAGAAGUAACCAGGCUACAUAGAAUCGAGCGCA